RNAcentral lists this long non-coding RNA (597 nucleotides) under Pongo abelii (Sumatran orangutan). RNAcentral describes it as "lincRNA". Lineage: Eukaryota; Metazoa; Chordata; Mammalia; Primates; Hominidae. The record is from RNAcentral.
CCAACUGUCCACGUGUGGCUGUUGUGUCAUUUUUUUCAUUUGCGGGACCACUGGGACUUCAGCUGCAGGUGGCAGGAGGCUCCAUCCCCAAGUGUCUCCACGGAUAAGGUCAGGCACCAUCCAGCCCACAACCCCUCCACAUCCCUUACCAGUGUGACAUGACGAGACACAAUCACAGCUUCAAAUCACAUCCUUGCUGAACUCACAGAGGACAAUUUAGGCAGGAACCGCACACUGCUAUGACAUAUCCACCCCACUGUGCUUUCUCGAGGAAUGAUGUUCCAUGCCCCCUGCUGAGCAGCCCUGUACAGUGGCCACUUUCCCUGGUAGUAGGUGACGCAUCUACAUGGUGGCCCUAGCAGCCUUCAGCCCUAGAGUCUGACUGCCCUGGUCCAAGCCAUCCCUGCCUUGCUGGCCUCCUGGUGCCCAUGUACCCUGUUGACAUUCCCCUCUCCACCGUCUUCCACUCAAAGCACCAAAGAAAACUUAUUCAAUGUGUCUUUAUGGUGCAGAGUCCCGGCAAGCAGAGGUCUUUGUGUAUCUGUUGAAUAAAAAAAUUCCUCGUGAUGCGUAGUAACGUCAGUGAGGAAGACUGCA